RNAcentral lists this ribosomal RNA (497 nucleotides) under uncultured bacterium. RNAcentral's name for it is "partial 16S ribosomal RNA". It matches the Rfam family "Bacterial small subunit ribosomal RNA", at positions 28 to 507 of the family's 1533-position model. The record is from RNAcentral.
GAUGAACGCUGGCGGCGUGCCUAAUACAUGCAAGUCGAGCGAACGGACGAGAAGCUUGCUUCUCUGAUGUUAGCGGCGGACGGGUGAGUAACACGUGGAUAACCUACCUAUAAGACUGGGAUAACUUCGGGAAACCGGAGCUAAUACCGGAUAAUAUUUUGAACCGCAUGGUUCAAAAGUGAAAGACGGUCUUGCUGUCACUUAUAGAUGGAUCCGCGCUGCAUUAGCUAGUUGGUAAGGUAACGGCUUACCAAGGCAACGAUGCAUAGCCGACCUGAGAGGGUGAUCGCCCCCACUGGAACUGAGACACGGUCCAGACUCCUACGGGAGGCAGCAGUAGGUAAUCUUCCGCAAUGGGCGGAAGCCUGACGGAGCAACGCCGCGUGAGUGAUGAAGGUCUUCGUAUCGUAAAACUCUGUUAUUAGGGAAGAACAUAUGUGUAAGUAACUGUGCACUUCUUGACGGUACCUAAUCAGAAAGCCACGGCUAACUACGUG